UUUUCGGAGAGUUUGAUCCUGGCUCAGAGUGAACGCUGGCGGCGUGGAUUAGGCAUGCAAGUCGCGCGAUACUUAGUGAUGAGAGGUUGAAACCGCAAGGCGGAUGCCGAUUUGAUCUAGGAUAUAGCGGCAAACGGGUGAGUAACGCGUGAGUAACCUACCUCAAUACCGGGGAUAGCUUUGCGAAAGUAAGGGUAAUACCCGAUGUGUCUUUCCUGUAAUUGGGAAAAGGUAAAGCCUUAGCGUAAGCUAGGGUGUAUAGAGAUGGGCUCGCGUCCUAUCAGCUAGUUGGUAGGGUAAUGGCCUACCAAGGCGAUUGACGGGUAGCUGGUCUGAGAGGAUGGUCAGCCACACGGGGACUGAGAUACUGCCCCGACUCCUACGGGAGGCUGCAGUCGAGAAUCUUUAGCAAUGGACGAAAGUCUGACUAUGCGACGCCGCGUGAGGGAUGAAGGUUUUCGGAUCGUAAACCUCUUUCGAUGGGGAAGAAGUCCGCCAUUUAUCGUGGCGGAUUGACGGUACCUAGAGAAGAAGCCAUGGCCAACUCCGUGCCAGCAGCCGCGG
RNAcentral lists this ribosomal RNA (564 nucleotides) under Candidatus Omnitrophota bacterium. RNAcentral's name for it is "bacterial SSU rRNA". It matches the Rfam family "Bacterial small subunit ribosomal RNA", at positions 1 to 520 of the family's 1533-position model. The record is from RNAcentral. Lineage: Bacteria; Pseudomonadati; Candidatus Omnitrophota.